GUGCCUAAUACAUGCAAGUCGAGCGAACAGACGAGGAGCUUGCUCCUCUGACGUUAGCGGCGGACGGGUGAGUAACACGUGGAUAACCUACCUAUAAGACUGGGAUAACUUCGGGAAACCGGAGCUAAUACCGGAUAAUAUAUUGAACCGCAUGGUUCAAUAGUGAAAGACGGUUUUGCUGUCACUUAUAGAUGGAUCCGCGCCGCAUUAGCUAGUUGGUAAGGUAACGGCUUACCAAGGCAACGAUGCGUAGCCGACCUGAGAGGGUGAUCGGCCACACUGGAACUGAGACACGGUCCAGACUCCUACGGGAGGCAGCAGUAGGGAAUCUUCCGCAAUGGGCGAAAGCCUGACGGAGCAACGCCGCGUGAGUGAUGAAGGUCUUCGGAUCGUAAAACUCUGUUAUUAGGGAAGAACAAAUGUGUAAGUAACUAUGCACGUCUUGACGGUACCUAAUCAGAAAGCCACGGCUAACUACGUGCCAGCAGCCGCGGUAAUACGUAGGUGGCAAGCGUUAUCCGGAAUUAUUGGGCGUAAAGCGCGCGUAGGCGGUUUUUUAAGUCUGAUGUGAAAGCCCACGGCUCAACCGUGGAGGGUCAUUGGAAACUGGAAAACUUGAGUGCAGAAGAGGAAAGUGGAAUUCCAUGUGUAGCGGUGAAAUGCGCAGAGAUAUGGAGGAACACCAGUGGCGAAGGCGACUUUCUGGUCUGUAACUGACGCUGAUGUGCGAAA
RNAcentral lists this ribosomal RNA (732 nucleotides) under uncultured Staphylococcus sp. RNAcentral describes it as "bacterial SSU rRNA". It matches the Rfam family "Bacterial small subunit ribosomal RNA", at positions 44 to 758 of the family's 1533-position model. Lineage: Bacteria; Bacillati; Bacillota; Bacilli; Caryophanales; Staphylococcaceae. The record is from RNAcentral.